CCCAGGAGCUGGUGGCCCCAGACUGUCCUGAGGUGGCUCAAACACGGAUGAGGAUGGAUGUGAGCUGAUGGUUGAUGUCUCCCAUGGCCUGGUGGCUCCAUCAUCCCAUUCCUUGUUCCCUGAGAUCCAGGAUGGGUGGUGGGACAUCCCCCAGGACCCGGUGCUCUGGGAUCCCGUUCCCUGCUCCCAAAGGUCCAGCACAGGUGGGAUUGAUGUCCCCCAGGAGCUGGUGGCCCCAGGACUGUUCUGGGGUGGCUCAAACACGGAUGAGGAUGGACGUGAGCUGAUGGUUGAUGUCUCCCAGAUCCCGUUCCCUGCUCCCAGAGGUCCAGUACAGGUGGGAUUGAUGUCCCCCAGGAGCUGGUGGCCCCGGGACUGUCAAGAGGUGGCUCAAACAUGGAUGAGGAUGGACUUGAGCUGAUGGUUGGUGUUUCCCAUGGCCUGGUGGCUCCAUCAUCCCAUUACCUGUUCCCAGAGAUCCAGGAUGGGUGGUGGGACAUCCCCCAGGACCCGGUGCUCUGGGAUCCCAUUCCCUGCUCCCAGAGGUCCAACAUGGGUGGGAUCGAUGUCCCCCAGGAGCUGGUGGCCCCAGAACUGUCCUGAGGUGGCUCAAACAUGGAUGAGGAUGGACGUGAGCUGAUGGUUGAUGUUUCCCAUGGCCUGGUGGCUCCAUCAUCCCAUUCCCUGUUCCCAGAGAUCCAGGAUGGGUGGUGGGACAUCCCCCAGGACCUGCUGCUCUGGGACCCGGUGCUCUGGGAUCCCAUUCCCUGCUCUCAGAGAUCCAGGAUGGGUGGUGGGACAUCCCCCAGGACCUGGUGCUCUGGGAUCCCGUUCCCUGCUCCCUAAGGUCCAGUAUGGGUGGGAUCAAUGUCCCCCAGGAGCUGGUGGCCCCAGGACUGUCCUGAGGUGGCUCAAACACGGAUGAGGAUGGACGUGAGCUGAUGGUUGAUGUCUCCCUGAUCCCGUUCCCUGCUCCCAGAGGUCCAGCACAGGUGGUGGCACCAUGACUGGUGGCCUCUACGAGCCCAGUGGCUCCAGGACUUGUCUCUCUGGUCCCGGAGAGGGGACACAGGUGAGGGAUGUGACCUGGUGGCCCCAGGAUUGUUCUGAAGUGGAUCAAACACAGAUGAGGAGGGGCAUGAGCUGAUGGUUGACUCCACAAUCCCAUUCCCUGCUCCUCAAGAUCCAGCAUGGAUCAACACGACUGUUGACACCCCCAUGACCUGGUGGCUCCGUGAUCCCAUUUCCCAAAAAAUUCGGGACAUCCCCAAAUCCCUGCUCCCCACCCCCCAGCUCCCUGGACCCCUCAGAAUUCCAGGACCCCCAAUCUCUCCCUCCCAAACCUGGAUUGUCCCAGAAACUCCUCCCCCCAAUCCCAAACCCCCUAAAAUCCUGGACAUUCCCCCCAAGCCUUGGAAUGGGGGUUCCUUCAUUGAAUUUUGGCAUUUUUUUUCCCCUCCUGAGCUCCCCAGGGAAGCCCCACCCCAGAGAUCCCUCUGCAUCCUUUAUUUUGGCUUUUUUCCCCCAUCUUUCCUUAUCUCUUUGCUUCCCAAAUCCCCUUUUUGGUGGAAAAAAUGGAAAAUUCAGGUGGAAAACACCGUGUUUUCCUGCACUGACGCUCCACGGUUUUGGGCAGGGAUGAAGGUUCUGCCACAAAAAAAACAGAAAAACGGGAGACAAACCAAACCCAGCGAUUUUUUCAUGGAAAAAAAAACCUGGAGGAUUUUUGGGGGGAGAAAAGGGAAAUUUUAGUGGAAAAGACCAGAGUUUUUUACCGUUUCAGACAGGGGUGAAGGUUCUGCCAUGCAAAUUAAAAAGGUUGGGAAAAAAAA
Molecule: long non-coding RNA, 1832 nt
Organism: Parus major (Great Tit)
Lineage: Eukaryota; Metazoa; Chordata; Aves; Passeriformes; Paridae
Exons: 2
Source: RefSeq, a predicted model, not a curated record